This 441-nucleotide ribosomal RNA is filed under the name uncultured bacterium. RNAcentral's name for it is "partial 16S ribosomal RNA". It matches the Rfam family "Bacterial small subunit ribosomal RNA", at positions 338 to 795 of the family's 1533-position model. The record is from RNAcentral.
CCUACGGGUGGCAGCAGUGGGGAAUAUUGCACAAUGGGGGGAACCCUGAUGCAGCGACGCCGCGUGGGUGAGGAAGUACUUCGGUAUGUAAAGCCCUAUCAGCAGGGAAGAAAAUGACGGUACCUGACUAAGAAGCCCCGGCUAACUACGUGCCAGCAGCCGCGGUAAUACGUAGGGGGCAAGCGUUAUCCGGAUUUACUGGGUGUAAAGGGAGCGUAGACUGUGAGGUAAGUCAGCGGUGAAAUGCCCCCGCUCAACGGGGUGAAGUGCCAUUGAUACUGCCUUGCUGGAAUGCGGAUGCCGUGGGAGGAAUGUGUGGUGUAGCGGUGAAAUGCAUAGAUAUCACACAGAACACCGAUUGCGAAGGCAUCUCACGAAUCCGCGAUUGACGCUGAUGCACGAAAGCGUGGGUAUCAAACAGGAUUAGAUACCCUAGUAGUC